GUUUGUUAUAAAAGAAAAAUCCGAGAUUCUUUUCUCCAUCUGAUAUUUCGCUGAUUUUUGCUAUUAUCCCCCCCCCCCCCCCCAAAAAAAAAAAUUAAACAUUGCAUGGAAAUCUAAAUGAGAAUUCAAGGAGUAGGUCAUUCUCAAGUUUGAUUUUAUUUAGAUAGUUGAAUAGUUUUUAAUGUAACACCUAUCACAUAAAUAAUCUUAUGUCGUGUUUUUAAGACGAAUUAUAAAGAUGUAUGCCUAAUGUAUUCUAAUUCAUUCCGGGUAAGGUUUUUAGUAAGGUUUUUAGUAGACCGUUUCCUCCGGGUUGAUAUUCCCAACAUGCAGCCUGAAAUGUUCUCCAUGCUGUCGACUGACAAAUCUCAAGUAUUAGCAAAGUAAAAAUAAUUGGACUUUAUUGAAAAAAAUAUUGCCCAAAUGUCGGGAUGGAUGGCAUACGUGAAACGUGAAAACAUUUUAUAAUACAAUAUAAAAAUAAUCAUAAAAUUAUGAAUAAAUGAAUUAUUAUGCGCCAAUUUAUUCAUUCACGGCAUAUUGCUCAGUUGCGUAUACAUGUAAUGAUUUUGAUACGAUGUGAACUCCAUUUAUUUGGGUAUUUUCAAGUACCUGCAGGUUACUUCAUUUCGACGUCUUAGACAUAAACGUCACAAAUAACACUAUUUUUUUAAUGACGUCAUAUACUUUAACGGUACAGUUUGAAAAUAGAAUAACAAUGUGUUUAUAAUGUCAACUAUGUAAACUUAAUGUUUACAAAGUCAAAGACAUAUAUGGUCUUGAAUGUGUAUUCAGAGUAUGCGGAAAAUAUGCACUUUACUUCGAAAAAAUAGGGUUUUUAUAAUUAUUUGGGACUGUAAGAGUUUUAAAAGUGUGUAUAAACAGAACGAAUUCUACAAUAUAUAUAUAAUUUAAAAAUAAAAAUAAAGAGGUAAGCAUCAUUAAGGUCAUCUGCAAAAGUGAUAAGAAAACCAUUAAAAUAUACCCCACAUGCAAUUAGAUAUAAAUGCUAAAAGUUACAUAAGAGUUAGUUAAUAUCUGAUUACUAACAUUAAUUUCACGAGUUUUUUUUCUGCACAAAAAUCAAGGAGAAAGCAAGAGAGAGAAUGACAACUUUAUGUGAACAUGCAUAUUCAAUCUCAGUUACUGUUUCUGAUUUUUUGAUGGGCGUGUCUGCUACAUAAACCGCGCGAAGAAGAUGGAAGUUAACGGUUUCGCUGAUUGGUUGACGGAAUGUUACGGAAAUAGCGGAAACUGUCGAAGUGAAAAUCACAAUAACGACUCCCUGUUGUUUCCAGGAGACGGAAAAUGGACGGCAUAACAAUGUUAAACCUCCGUAAGGAUCGGAAUGUGGGCGGUACAUGAUGAUCAAUGGAGCGCUUAGUUAAUAAAUAAUGUUAAAUGGAAUGGAUGGACAGUUAUCGAAUGUAAUUUCUUGGUCAAAUGAUUUAAAUCAUAGCGGUAAAAAAAAUAUAACGUUUUUAAGGCAGACAGGACCCCCUGAGCCAGACUUAGACUAUUUUGGUGCGUCAUAUCCAAGUUGUCCAAUUCCUCUUCAUUUUCUCUGUCAUCUACCAGUGACGUCAAAACGGUGUUUUUUGCGCUGUUUAGUUCUGGCCAUUUUGUACUAUCUGUUAACCAAUUUGGUCCUUUCCGCCAAAGUAUACUCUGGUCAAAUUGUUCAAUUGUAAGUCCUCUUGUAAGAAGAUCUGCCGGGUUGUUAUCAGUAGGGCAAUACCGCCAUUUGUAUGGAUGCGUCAAUUCUGUUAUUUCCUUCACUCGAUUAGCUAUAAAACGUUUCAAAGUCUUCGUAGAUGUUAGCCAAUGAAGAACAAUGCUGCUAUCUGACCAAAAUACAAUUUUUGGAUAAUUAAGUGUUGAAUGAAGAUGUGCAGCUAGUCGUGCGCCGAUGAUUGCUGCCAUAAGUUCAAGUUGUGGGAGGGUUAAACAUUUGACUGGUGCUACUCUGGUUUUCGCCAUUACUAAAGUUGUUUCGUUUUCGUUACUCAAAUAAGCUGCUGCGCCGUACGCCUUUGGACUUGCGUCUGUAAAUACAUGAAGUACUAAUUCUGUUGAUGCUGAUGGCUUGCUAAAAUAAUAUCGAGGAAUAGUGAAUUGUAUUGCCUUUUCCAAAUCUUUGGUCAAAUCUAUCCACGUAGUCUUUAAAUUAUCUGGUAUAAGUUCGUCCCAAUCUAAUCCACA
RNAcentral lists this long non-coding RNA (2202 nucleotides) under Mytilus galloprovincialis (Mediterranean mussel). Lineage: Eukaryota; Metazoa; Mollusca; Bivalvia; Mytilida; Mytilidae. The record is from RNAcentral.